RNAcentral lists this ribosomal RNA (170 nucleotides) under uncultured soil bacterium. Its description in RNAcentral is "partial 16S ribosomal RNA". It matches the Rfam family "Bacterial small subunit ribosomal RNA", at positions 339 to 523 of the family's 1533-position model. The record is from RNAcentral.
CUACGGGAGGCAGCAGUGGGGAAUUUUCCGCAAUGGGCGAAAGCCUGACGGAGCAAUACCGCGUGAGGGAUGACGGCCUAUGGGUUGUAAACCUCUUUUUUCAGGGAGGAAUCAAUGACGUGUACCUGAAGAAUAAGCAUCGGCUAACUCCGUGCCAGCAGCCGCGGUAA